CUCUGGGUCCAACCUCCCACCCGUGUUUAUCGUACCUUGUUGCUUCGGCGGGCCCGCCUCACGGCCGCCGGGGGGCAUCCGCCCCCGGGCCCGCGCCCGCCGAAGACACACAAACGAACUCUUGUCUGAAGAUUGCAGUCUGAGUACUUGACUAAAUCAGUUAAAACUUUCAACAACGGAUCUCUUGGUUCCGGCAUCGAUGAAGAACGCAGCGAAAUGCGAUAAGUAAUGUGAAUUGCAGAAUUCAGUGAAUCAUCGAGUCUUUGAACGCACAUUGCGCCCCCUGGUAUUCCGGGGGGCAUGCCUGUCCGAGCGUCAUUGCUGCCCUCAAGCACGGCUUGUGUGUUGGGCUCUCGCCCCCCGCUUCCGGGGGGCGGGCCCGAAAGGCAGCGGCGGCACCGCGUCCGGUCCUCGAGCGUAUGGGGCUUCGUCACCCGCUCUGUAGGCCCGGCCGGCGCCCGCCGGCGAACACCAUCAAUCUUAACCAGGUUGACCUCGGAUCAGGUAGGGAUACCCGCUGAACUUAAGCAUAU
RNAcentral lists this ribosomal RNA (533 nucleotides) under Penicillium oxalicum. RNAcentral's name for it is "eukaryotic LSU rRNA". The stretch from base 165 to 318 matches the Rfam family "5.8S ribosomal RNA". The record is from RNAcentral. Lineage: Eukaryota; Fungi; Ascomycota; Eurotiomycetes; Eurotiales; Aspergillaceae.